GCCGAGGUGAUGGAAUGGUAGACAUGCAAGACUUAAAAUCUUGUGACCCAAUUGGGUCGUGUGGGUUCGAGUCCCACCCCCGGCA
This 85-nucleotide transfer RNA is filed under the name Candidatus Woesebacteria bacterium RIFCSPHIGHO2_01_FULL_41_10. RNAcentral describes it as "tRNA-Leu". It matches the Rfam family "tRNA". Rfam says of the family: Transfer RNA (tRNA) molecules are approximately 80 nucleotides in length. Lineage: Bacteria; Candidatus Woeseibacteriota. The record is from RNAcentral.